UUAUAGAGGACUCUACAACUGCCACAAAAGAUAUACAAUGGAGACAUCAGGUUUAUGAACCCACCUUCUCUUUCUAGUCUCCAGUUAAAUUAUUUCUAUUUUUUGAUUUUAUACUACAAAAGUUGUCCCCAUGAGAGAAAAUUUAAAUAUUUCUUAAUUAAUGAGGCGAUUGGUUCUUUCGCGUAAGCCCCUCUGAGUUGAUG
Molecule: unclassified non-coding RNA, 203 nt
Filed under: Hevea brasiliensis (rubber tree)
Lineage: Eukaryota; Viridiplantae; Streptophyta; Magnoliopsida; Malpighiales; Euphorbiaceae
Source: RNAcentral